RNAcentral lists this ribosomal RNA (500 nucleotides) under uncultured bacterium. RNAcentral describes it as "partial 16S ribosomal RNA". It matches the Rfam family "Bacterial small subunit ribosomal RNA", at positions 29 to 523 of the family's 1533-position model. The record is from RNAcentral.
AUUGAACGCUGGCGGAAUGCUUUACACAUGCAAGUCGAACGGCAGCACGGGGGCAACCCUGGUGGCGAGUGGCGAACGGGUGAGUAAUACAUCGGAACGUGCCCAGUCGUGGGGGAUAACGUAGCGGAAGUUACGCUAAUACCGCAUACGAUCUACGGAUGAAAGCGGGGGCCCGUAAGGCAUCGCGCGAUUGGAGCGGCCGAUGUCAGAUUAGGUAGUUGGUGAGGUAAAGGCUCGCCAAGCCGACGAUCGGUAGCUGGUCGGAGAGGACGACCAGCCACACUGGGACUGAGACACGGCCCAGACUCCUACGGGAGGCAGCAGUGGGGAAUUUUGGACAAUGGGCGCAAGCCUGAUCCAGCCAUUCCGCGUGCAGGACGAAGGCCUUCGGGUUGUAAACUGCUUUUGUACGGAACGAAAAGGCUCUGGUUAAUACCUGGGGCUCAUGACGGUACCGUAAGAAUAAGCACCGGCUAACUACGUGCCAGCCGCCGCCGUAA